This 311-nucleotide long non-coding RNA is filed under the name Lupinus angustifolius (narrow-leaved blue lupine). Its description in RNAcentral is "long non-coding RNA (LANG_LNC001058)". The record is from RNAcentral. Lineage: Eukaryota; Viridiplantae; Streptophyta; Magnoliopsida; Fabales; Fabaceae.
CGUGUAAUUAAUUUUUCAAGAUCAAAUUGUUUGAAAAUUAAGAAUGAUGAUGUUGCAUAUAGGUUUAGAGGUAUCUUAAAGCGCGAAUAUGCGAUUUGACCAUCAUGUAAACAUUUUGUAGCUAUUCCAGAGGUGGCUGUAACUAGGACAAUUUGUCUGAUAUUUCUUAGACUUGUAAUUAAAGCACGAUAAAUGAACAUCUUACCUAUUCCCCCAGUUUCAUCUAUAAAAACAACUUUACCCUGUCUAUGCUCAGUGACAUUCAUGACGGUGUUGAAACCAACUAAUUCAUUAGAAUUUAGUUUUCUCAC